Molecule: ribosomal RNA, 468 nt
Filed under: uncultured bacterium
Lineage: Bacteria
Description: partial 16S ribosomal RNA
Rfam family: Bacterial small subunit ribosomal RNA
Source: RNAcentral
GACGAACGCUGGCGGCGUGCUUAACACAUGCAAGUCGAACGGAAAGGCCCUGCUUUUGUGGGGUGCUCGAGUGGCGAACGGGUGAGUAACACGUGAGUAACCUGCCCUUGACUUUGGGAUAACUUCAGGAAACUGGGGCUAAUACCGGAUAGGAGCUCCUGCUGCAUGGUGGGGGUUGGAAAGUUUCGGCGGUUGGGGAUGGACUCGCGGCUUAUCAGCUUGUUGGUGGGGUAGUGGCUUACCAAGGCUUUGACGGGUAGCCGGCCUGAGAGGGUGACCGGCCACAUUGGGACUGAGAUAGGGCCCAGACUCCUACGGGAGGCAGGAGUGGGGAAUAGUGCACAAUGGGCGGAAGCCUGAUGCAGCAACGCCGCGUGCGGGAUGACGGCCUUCGGGUUGUAAACCGCUUUCGCCUGUGACGAAGCGUGAGUGACGGUAAUGGGUAAAGAAGCACCGGCUAACUACGUG